GUCACUGGAGGCUGAGUGGGAAACCUGGACUUGUAGCUACACCUUGGAGGAACUAGACAGUGCCCCUAAGUCCCCCACUAGAUCGAUGUCAGAGAAAGUCAGCUAAAACAGAAAGUUUAAAAAAGA
Lontra canadensis (Northern American river otter) is the source of this 126-nucleotide long non-coding RNA. RefSeq lists it as uncharacterized. Lineage: Eukaryota; Metazoa; Chordata; Mammalia; Carnivora; Mustelidae. The transcript has 3 exons. The record is from RefSeq and is a predicted model, not a curated record.